GAUGAACGCUGACGGCGUGCCUAAUACAUGCAAGUCGAGCGAACAGAUGAGGAGCUUGCUCCUCUGACGUUAGCGGCGGACGGGUGAGUAACACGUGGAUAACCUACCUAUAAGACUGGGAUAACUUCGGGAAACCGGAGCUAAUACCGGAUAAUAUAUUGAACCGCAUGGUUCAAUAGUGAAAGACGGUUUUGCUGUCACUUAUAGAUGGAUCCGCGCCGCAUUAGCUAGUUGGUAAGGUAACGGCUUACCAAGGCAACGAUGCGUAGCCGACCUGAGAGGGUGAUCGGCCACACUGGAACUGAGACACGGUCCAGACUCCUACGGGAGGCAGCAGUAGGGAAUCUUCCGCAAUGGGCGAAAGCCUGACGGAGCAACGCCGCGUGAGUGAUGAAGGUCUUCGGAUCGUAAAACUCUGUUAUUAGGGAAGAACAAAUGUGUAAGUAACUAUGCACGUCUUGACGGUACCUAAUCAGAAAGCCACGGCUAACUACGUG
Molecule: ribosomal RNA, 497 nt
Filed under: uncultured bacterium
Lineage: Bacteria
Description: partial 16S ribosomal RNA
Rfam family: Bacterial small subunit ribosomal RNA
Source: RNAcentral